AAGCUUCUCGAAAUGUUCACAGCAUGUGCAAGGCACAAGUUUCCUAAUUUACUUUGGAGAUCCAGCUGUUCCUCUGCAGACCCAAAGUAUCUACUCCAAGCAGCCCAGACUGCUGUUUCCCUUUUGAAUGGUAAAUUGAGAAAAGAAAAGAGAAGUGAAGCCUAAGGAAGAAGGAAAUGUAGAAGAUAAAAAAGGAGAAAAAUUAAGAGUCACCAAAGACAAGAGAUGAAUGAAGAUAAGAAAUUAACAUUCAAAAGGUACCUGAAUGCCACAGCACUAAGGAAAAGGCUCUGAAUUCACACCAUCUUGCAGCACAUCAAUCACACGAGGUGUCUUCUGAGUUUCACUUACUAACUUCAGGAGCAGACAAAAUUGCACAGAAUUUGCCCCCACCCCUGAUUUUAAAUGACAGCACAAAAAAGCCAUCUAUAGGACCCAGAAUAUUAAUUGCUUGAAUAUAAAAUGUAAUUUAGAAGAUAUGAAAAGACAAGAGAGCAUGAGCCUGCUCUGAGUCACUCUCCUCAGUCAAACUGAAGGAGUGCAAUUUACAUUACCCCCCUUGGUUUAUACUUGAAUUGCAAAGUUUAACAUGAAUG
This is a long non-coding RNA of Harpia harpyja (harpy eagle), 596 nucleotides long. RefSeq lists it as uncharacterized. The record is from RefSeq and is a predicted model, not a curated record. The transcript has 4 exons. Lineage: Eukaryota; Metazoa; Chordata; Aves; Accipitriformes; Accipitridae.